This 1654-nucleotide long non-coding RNA is filed under the name Nicotiana tabacum (common tobacco). RNAcentral describes it as "long non-coding RNA (NTAB_LNC009036)". Lineage: Eukaryota; Viridiplantae; Streptophyta; Magnoliopsida; Solanales; Solanaceae. The record is from RNAcentral.
UCUUUUCAAAAUUGCCACAAAGAAGUUGUUUCUCUCAAUUCUCAAGGUAAAUCCUUUUGUUAUAAUUUUGGAAUAUAGUUAUUCUCUUUCAUGUUUAAUUUUGUUUUCUCUGCAUUCUAACUGCAAGAUGAAUGUAUCUCUAUUAUUAUUUAUUUCCUAUUUUAAUAUUAAAGAUUUUGUCUUUUUGUUAUUCAACUUCUGCAAUAUUUCACAAAAUUUUUAACUGUUGCUUUUUAUUCUGUUUGGGUAUUGGACUUUUUAGUUUUCAUUAUCUCCAACAUUCUUUCCACAUAACUUUUGUGGUGGUUGAUUAGCUUUUCAUUUUAUUAGCGCUAAUUGGUAUUUGAAUCUUUUAUAUUACCCGUCAUGCUAUGUUUGAUUGUUCCUACAGUUUUUUACAAUCUAUUUGGUGAAGAUUUGAUUUAUUUGCGGGGGUUUUCUUUUCACUUUGUUCAGUUCUAAGAUGUCAGAGACAAGCCUAAGGCUUUGAAAACAGUCUCUAUUGUUCCAGGUAUUGAAAUAGUUAAAUUUUUCUUCGUUUUUCACCAAUCAAGAUUUCAUUCUUAAUUGAUACAAAACCACAAUGCUUCAGCUCCAAUUUACGUGCUUUUCUUUUUAGCCAUAUGAGUUUGUGAAAAAAUUAGUUAUAGCAUGAUUAUUAUCACUAAUAAUUUAUUAUACAAACUUUCCAGUUGUCCCCAUUUAGCUAUUCUUGAAUCAUUUUUCGUUAGUAUACCUCCAACCUAGUGGCGAAACUAGGAAUUUUUUCAGGGGUAUUCAAAUUUAAAAGAAGUGGAAAAAAUUCUUUAUAAAGGUUCAAUAUAUGUUAUAUACCUCUAAACAUAAUAUUUUACCUAAAUACACAUUGUAAUUUUUCGGCGAAAGGUGGUCAAUUGAUGACAUUAUGACUAUGUGGCUUCGCCACUGAUCCAACCUGUCAUAUAUCGUCUAUAUUUUGUAAACCUUGCUGUAUAGUCAAUCUAGAGCAUUGAUUGACUGAAUGGUAAUCCACUAAUAGUUUGUUAAUCAAUCAUUUGUAGAAUAUUCUGUGAAUUUGAGUCAGUAUCUGUUAAUGUUAUGUGAAAUUGAAGUCACAUUUAGUUUUCUAUCUCCAGGCAAUAACCCGUAGGAAAAAAAAAACUUGAGAAUGAAAACAAACUCGGAGAAGAAGUAUAUCACUGGCAAUUUAUUAUUCUAAUUCUCCCGGUGUCCCCAUUUAGCUAUCCUUGGAGCAUUUUUCAUAAGGUAUGCAUCUAAUCUGUCAUAUAUCGUCUAUAUUUUGUAAACCAUCCGAUACAGUCCAUUAGGAUCAUUGGUUGACUGAAUGGUAUAUUUUACUCCUUUCAUAGUUUGUUAAUCAAUCAUUUAUAGAAUGUUCUGUGAUUUAUACCAUAUGGGAGGUGGGAUAAGAUGGGAUAUUAUGGAUUAAGUCUGGGAUUAAAUUUAUACCGUGUUUGGUUGGAUAUUCCAGGAUAAAUUUAUACCGCCAAUCAAAUACGGUAUAAAUUUAAUCCCACAUCUUAUCCCACCUUAUCCCUCAUACCAAGCGACUCCCAAGUAAGCAAGUAUUUGAAAAACUCUUCUUUUUACUCUAAUUCACAGAAGCAGAAGACAACACUGAGAAAAGUGUAUAACUACAAGAAGUACUUUGAAG